UGCGUAGGCGGAUUAAUAAGUCAGUGGUGAGAACCUGCAGCUUAACUGUAGAAUUGCCAUUGAUACUGUUAGUCUUGAGUACGGUCAAGGUAGGCGGAAUGUGUAAUGUAGCGGUGAAAUGCUUAGAUAUUACACAGAACACCGAUUGCGAAGGCAGCUUACUGGGCCAUUACUGACGCUGAGGCACGAAAGCGUGGGGAGCGAACAGGAUUAGAUACCCUGGUAGUCC
This 229-nucleotide ribosomal RNA is filed under the name uncultured bacterium. Its description in RNAcentral is "partial 16S ribosomal RNA". It matches the Rfam family "Bacterial small subunit ribosomal RNA", at positions 568 to 796 of the family's 1533-position model. The record is from RNAcentral.